Molecule: unclassified non-coding RNA, 426 nt
Filed under: Hevea brasiliensis (rubber tree)
Lineage: Eukaryota; Viridiplantae; Streptophyta; Magnoliopsida; Malpighiales; Euphorbiaceae
Source: RNAcentral
UAGUAAUUGUUUUUUUUUUUUAUAUGUCUCAACAAUUUUAAUCAGAAAGUGUUAAAAAAUUUAAAUCAUAUUUUAAUUAUAAAAACUCUAAAAUAAUAAAAUAAUUUUAUUUUUCGUUCCCAUGCCAUGUUUUCCCUUCAAAAUAAUAUGGUCUACGAAAUCGUUUUCAGUGCAAGCCUUGCUGCUGGCUAUAUUGAACAAUAUGGAAAACUUAAGCGAGACAAAGGCAUAGGAGUCCUCCAUUUUCAUGAAGACUGUACAAAUGUGUGUAAAAAUACUAAACAAUACAAAACUAUAUAAACUACAAGACUAAUAGAUUAAGAAAAUUAUGGUCAAAUGCUUCCUGCAAAAUCAUGAAUCCUCUGUUCAUUACACACAUGGGGAAAAUAAAUCGUUUGGAUCCUUGAUGCUUCACUUUAAGAAAAG